ACGGGCACCCACCACCACCAACCCAGUGGGCCGGCCACACCUCCAGCCCUGUGACGGGCACCCACCACCACCAACCCAGUGGGCCGGCCACACCUCCAGCCCUGUGACGGGCACCCACCACCACCAACCCAGUGGGCCGGCCACACCUCCAGCCCUGUGAUGGGCACCCACCACCACCACCAUCCCAGUGGGCCGGCCACACCUCCAGCCCUGUGACGGGCACUCAGGACCACCAAGGGCACUCAGGUGCAGAUGCCCCUGGGAGAACACCACCUUCAUUCAGCCCGGGCGGCCAGAUUAGGGGAAGGUUGCUUCUAGGAGAGAAAGUCUUGAGUCAGGCUUUGUGGAGAAAGGAGGUUUCUACACCCCAAGCGUUCCUGACACAACCCAACCAGCCUGGUGUUGCACCACAGGGCUCACACCUCAGAUCAAGACAACGGGGGCCCAGCCACAGCCCACUGACGAGGGCAUGCAGGGCGUCCAGGAUGCAGGGCAGAGAGAGAAGCGAGGGAUGAGUCACGGAUGCGCCCCCCGCUCUGAGCCCGACGGGGCCCUGAAUGGCUUUUCCUGCCCUGGCUCCUCCCAUCAUAUUUUAAAUGCCGUCUUCCUCCCGCUCCAAGGAAACCUUCUCUUGACGUCAGAGUCUGAAACUUUACAUCAUAGUGAACAAAGAAAACCUAAUAUGAUGCCAGGGAAAAGAUUUCAGGAUGUUCAAAAUCUGUUCCUGAUAAAAAUAAUCUGAAUUCAAAAAUCUUUCAUGACUGAUUUUUAAUCACACUGAGGCAAAUAUCCCCCUCAGACAGAGGCUGCACCGGUACAGCUGCCAUCUCCUCUUGGUGGUGUCCUUUGUCAAGAGCAUGUCAGGGUGAUGAGUCAUCUGGGACAGGUCACCCUCCCAGCACCGAGAAGCCGACGGGGGAGGAACAGACUCCUCUGCAUUGUGAUCCAAUUGUGAACAAAAAGUCCUCUUCGUGGAACAGGAAAAAUACACUCCCUCUAAACAAUGGAUUGAACACAGAUGUGAUUUCUAAAGAAGACUGAAGGCAGGGAUACUGACACUGAAGUCCUGCCUGUGUAAUAACACCGAAGAGGGCAGGGAAUCGCUGCGUCCUGUGACUUGAAGGCCACUGUGAAGGAAAACAAUGCAGUGAAAGAAAGUUCCUCCUAUGUGGACAUUGUAUCACGUUUAUUUAUCUUCCUGGAUAUGCUUAUGGCCUUUAAAACAUAUUAAAAUAGGCUAUGCUAUUAUCUCUUAAAAUAUCUGUUUUCCCUCAGGUAACUGGAGACGCACCCUGCUACUCCUCACGUCACUCUUGUUCCCUAAACCAGGCUGGGCCUCCCACUCGCCCCACAGGCAGGUGACGUAUGACAGCCAGAAACCCCAAAUCUGCAGUUCUCCCCAGGAUGAAACGAAACACAGUGUGACAGGCUUCUGAUAAGGGAAUCAAUGUCUGUUUAUUAAGGCAGAUGCUCAUAAAA
Molecule: long non-coding RNA, 1479 nt
Organism: Homo sapiens (human)
Lineage: Eukaryota; Metazoa; Chordata; Mammalia; Primates; Hominidae
Exons: 2
Source: RefSeq, a predicted model, not a curated record